Manacus vitellinus (golden-collared manakin) is the source of this 2147-nucleotide long non-coding RNA. RefSeq lists it as uncharacterized. The record is from RefSeq and is a predicted model, not a curated record. The transcript has 3 exons. Lineage: Eukaryota; Metazoa; Chordata; Aves; Passeriformes; Pipridae.
GGCCUGUGAGUGGUUUGCUAGGUGACUUCUCCCAACAAAUCCCACGUGAGGUGAGAUUCACAAAUCUUGCUGUUGUCUUCCUGCCCUGAUGAUGCAGCUCUGGAUGUGCAGCCACCGGACUUGCCCCUCCUGCUUCCCCACUUCAGCAGGCGUCAAGUUCCCAGAUCUCUCCUCCAGCUUCAAUAAUAACAACAGCAUCACUGGAAAAACAGCAGGCAGGAAGAUGACACGCAGGAGCAGUGACAAACAGCUAAACAUCUGACUUGGAGUUAUUAGAGUGUCAUCCCCUGGGCAUGUGACAAACCCCAUGUUAUGGAUCCGUGUGCUAGAGGGAGGAACUGGAAAUGGGGUUGGCACAACCCACAGGCUAUCAAAACAAUGUAGUUUUUCUUAACCCAGAGCGUCAGACCCGCUCUGAGCACGUACUGUACUGCUGUGUCUGCAGCUCACGCAGAGGGACAUUCUGACAGGGAUUUCCCAAGCGCUGCCAGUGCUGUAGCCAUAGAAGCAGGAGAUAAAAAUAUUUGCACAGAACCUGGGGGCAGGGUUUGCAGCCUGUGCUGUACCACACAGCGCUCCUGCUCAACAAUGCUGUUCAGCUAAUUGUAGGUCUGGACUCCCCUGGAUAUUUCUUUCAUUAGUACCUCCCGUGGGAUACCUUACUCCAUUUGUGCCUCCACAGGCUGGCUUUAUCUUUUUUUAAGCCUUUGUUGUGGAUUCAGCAUAUCAAAGCCUCUCUUUGUCAGGACACUUCUACUUUGUACUCCAAAUGGGGAUUAAACUACACAUGGUGUACCUGGAAGCACUUGUGAAUCUGUUCUGCCUGUCCAUCCCUGCCUGGCGUCUCUCCCUUACCCCUCACGACUGGUCUGGUGACUUCAGAGCCAGUCGGGGCACAUUGGUCUUGGAUGAGGGCACAGGAUUAGUCACUGCCACCAAACAAUGUCUAAUUGUGUGUAUGUUUUCCUUUCCUCCAGAAAAGGACUCUGUGUUGUCUAUGCUGCCUCACUGCUCUAUUUUUCUACAGUUUCUUAUUUUUCACAAAAAAAGCCACUCGUUCCUCCCAAACUUGUUGUAUAGCCCAGCCUCAGCUCAAGUGGCUUAAACUCAUACAAAGCCGAGGUGUCACGAGGAGAUUAAGGAACAUACCUUGUGGCAUGAUGAAAAGCAGCAAAUGACAGCAAAAUCCUGCCUUUUCACAAAACACGUGAUCUUUUUUGACUCUGUCCUCGUUUUUGGAUUAUUUCAGAGGAGAGAACUUUGAAUUGCAACAGAUCUGCCAACAAGAGCGAAGUGUCUCCAGUCACUUGUGCCUGGUCUUUGCUUUCUUACACAACCUUCUAUGUUUAAAUAAAGUAGUCUGCUUCUGCUUUUUGUUUGUUUGUUGUAAUCUGGUGUUUUAUUGGGUCUUAUGGGCUCGCCUGAAGUCAGUUUAGUAGGAAACAACCCAUGAGCAAGUGAAGUUAUAUCUAUCAUUAUUGUCACUUCAAAUACUUCAGAUGUCUUGCCAGUAAAAAACCCCUUCAAGGUACCAGCAUAGCACCUGAAAACCACGAGAGAGACAAGCAAAGAAGGAUAUGAGCAGAUGGGAAGGGACUGGAGAGUUAGACAUGGAAAUCAGCAGGAUUUCCCCGGGGAGUAAACAAGAGCCUUCCAGGAAAUGUUCUGCAGCCUGGGGGACACGUCAUGGCUGAACAGGACUUCAGAGAGCAGCUGAUAAAGAAAGAAGACCAGCAUAUUAGGGACAGUGAGCAUUUGGGUACUUCAGUAAGAAGGGCCAUGCAGGUGUUUCAGAAAGAUGUGAUAUCUGUGUCCUGGGCAUUCAUAUCAACAUUAACAUAUACAUCAAUAAAUUCAUGGCUGCUUAUCAUUUGAUAUUUGAUCUCCCUCUGCUUUAAUGUUUUCAAGUGCAGAACCUGGGGCAGAGACAACACUGAUGUAAUUCAACACUCACCUUCUCCUGACUGCCUAACCCAAGAAAACAUUUUACAGGUGGUCCAUACCCAUGUUCAUCCAGUUUGAUCAAUGUUUCUGGAUGGUUCAGCAUAUUUGCAUCGAUCAGGAGAGACUCACAAAUUAUUCUAUAUGGGAAAUGGCUUAAAGGCUUCAAAUGGUCUUACUUAAAUUGGUCUGGUUUUGACAGCAAC